GAUGAACGCUAGCGAUAGGCUUAACACAUGCAAGUCGAGGGGCAGCGAGGGUAGCAAUACCUGUCGGCGACCGGCGCACGGGUGAGUAACGCGUAUGUAACCUGCCCGCAACAGGGGGAUAACCCGGCGAAAGUCGGACUAAUACCGCAUAAAACAGGGGUCCCGCAUGGGAAUAUUUGUUAAAGAUUUAUCGGUUGCGGAUGGGCAUGCGUACCAUUAGGUAGUUGGUGAGGUAACGGCUCACCAAGCCUUCGAUGGUUAGGGGUUCUGAGAGGAAGGUCCCCCACACUGGUACUGAGACACGGACCAGACUCCUACGGGAGGCAGCAGUGAGGAAUAUUGGUCAAUGGGCGAGAGCCUGAACAAGCCAAGUCGCGUGAAGGAUGACUGCCCUAUGGGUUGUAAACUUCUUUUACAAGGGAAUAAAAUGAGAUACGUGUAUUUUAUUGCAUGUACCUUGGGAAUAAGCAUCGGCUAACUCCGUG
Molecule: ribosomal RNA, 485 nt
Filed under: uncultured bacterium
Lineage: Bacteria
Description: partial 16S ribosomal RNA
Rfam family: Bacterial small subunit ribosomal RNA
Source: RNAcentral